CCUUGGUUCUCACGCUUAAGUGGCCCCACACCAAUCCCAUCUCGAACUUGGUUGUUAAAUGCUUAAGGAAAAUCAAUACUAUACGGGAGCCCGUAUGGAAAAGGGUUUUUAGUGCCAGGG
Molecule: ribosomal RNA, 120 nt
Filed under: Phacotus lenticularis
Lineage: Eukaryota; Viridiplantae; Chlorophyta; Chlorophyceae; Chlamydomonadales; Phacotaceae
Source: RNAcentral